UUUUCAAAAAAAAAAAAAAAACACAUUUCUUCCUGGUACCAAUAGGCAAUAGCCAUCUUCAACACCUUAACAGCUACCACCGUCUCCCUGGCACCAAAAACCCUAACCUUUUCCUUCUCGAUCUCCGGCCGCCAUCACCACCAUUAGCCCCGCCGCAAGCAUCGACGCCAUCGCCAACCAUCACCACCAUCAUCAAUGAUUGGGGUCCCCGACUUAUAAAAGGUUUCAUGAUUUUCACUACCAACGCGCCAUUCACCACCACCGCUAAUACCUUCUCUUUUGAUGUGGAUCUUCAGCGGCCAUUCAUCCAUCCACGUCCUGAUUUUCAUUGAGGAAGAGUUGAAGACAGAUUACAAACCGCAUAAACAGGCAAAAUGGACCUGUAGUUUUGGUUACCUACCAUCUCUCUUUGCUACAUUUUUGGUUGCCCAUGGGGGUGUUGGUUAAAGAAGCUACUUUUAUUGGAUAAUGAUUUCGAGAUGCUGGCGGAGUGGCGGGCAGUAAUUAUUGUGUAUGUUAAAAUAUAAAUUUUGAAUGAAUAUGUGAUGUUCAAGGAUCUUCAUCAGUUAUGUAUAAAAGGGUGUUUGAA
Erigeron canadensis is the source of this 589-nucleotide long non-coding RNA. RefSeq lists it as uncharacterized. The transcript has 3 exons. The record is from RefSeq and is a predicted model, not a curated record. NCBI's taxonomy places the organism in Eukaryota, Viridiplantae, Streptophyta, Magnoliopsida, Asterales, Asteraceae.